AUGUGGCUUGCUGUUCAUCGCAGGUGCUUGACCGCAGAUAAUUUGGAGAGGAGGGGCUGGCCUUCUAAUGGCAACUGUCCGUUGUGCAUCUCGACGCACGAAGACUGCACACAUCUUUUUGUGCAUUGUCGGUUCACUCAGCAGGUUUGGAGGAGGUUCAGGGACUGGACGAGAGUGUUUUUUCUUGUUCCAGAUGACAGUUAUGCUAAUACUGAGGAUUGGUGGCUGAGAACACGGAAGGAUGUCCCCAAGUCUGAUAGGCGCAAUUUUGACACCAUUAUCAUUCUUAUCCACUGGAGGAUCUGGAAAGAAAGAAAUGCGAGAAUUUUUGAGCAUGUGGCCUGCAGCGUUGAAAGGGUGCUGGAUUCGAUCAGAGAAGAUAUCAGGGCCUGGAGAGCAGCAGGUUGUAUCGGUGACCUUUUUUGA
This 426-nucleotide ribosomal RNA is filed under the name Triticum aestivum (bread wheat). Its description in RNAcentral is "partial small subunit ribosomal RNA". The record is from RNAcentral. Lineage: Eukaryota; Viridiplantae; Streptophyta; Magnoliopsida; Poales; Poaceae.